Lolium perenne is the source of this 355-nucleotide long non-coding RNA. RefSeq lists it as uncharacterized. NCBI's taxonomy places the organism in Eukaryota, Viridiplantae, Streptophyta, Magnoliopsida, Poales, Poaceae. The record is from RefSeq and is a predicted model, not a curated record.
GAUGCUUCUGAAGUUGGUGAAUGAAAAGAGGGUCAAGGUUGAUCAUGCGGUUAUUGAGACAACAGGUAAAUCUCAUUGGUACCGAAACAGAGGACGCCGAGGAGGACCGAUAUCGGUAGCGGCUGGCCGGCUGGGUCGAGAUCAGAAGCGGAUGCUCAACCCGGCUAGCUCUGGUAACAUGUUUCGUUUUCGGUGGGGACUGGCCGGUAACAGUUUUGAGCUGCGCUGGGACUCGAUUACACGAUACUUGUUUUUGGAGGAACUAAAUCAAACACGAUUAACGGAAAGAGGUAACAAUGUAAUCGGUGAAAAUAUGCGAACCAAAUUCUUCCUUGGAGGAUAGAAAAAUGAGGAU